AUUGAACGCUGGCGGCAGGCCUAACACAUGCAAGUCGAACGGUAGCACAGAGAGCUUGCUCUCGGGUGACGAGUGGCGGACGGGUGAGUAACGUCUGGGAAACUGCCCGAUGGAGGGGGAUAACUACUGGAAACGGUAGCUAAUACCGCAUAACGUCGCAAGACCAAAGUGGGGGACCUUCGGGCCUCACACCAUCGGAUGUGCCCAGAUGGGAUUAGCUAGUAGGUGGGGUAAUGGCUCACCUAGGCGACGAUCCCUAGCUGGUCGGAGAGGAUGAACAGGCACGCUGGAACUGAGACACGGUCCAGACUCCUACGGGAGGCAGCAGUGGGGAAUAUUGCACAAUGGGCGGAAGCCUGAUGCAGCCAUGCCGCGUGUAUGAAGAAGGCCUUCGGGUUGUAAAGUACUUUCAGCGGGGAGGAAGGCGGUGAAGUUAAUAACUUCACCGAUUGACGUUACCCGCAGAAGAAGCACCGGCUAACUCCGUGCCAGCCGCCGCAGUAA
RNAcentral lists this ribosomal RNA (504 nucleotides) under uncultured bacterium. RNAcentral's name for it is "partial 16S ribosomal RNA". It matches the Rfam family "Bacterial small subunit ribosomal RNA", at positions 29 to 523 of the family's 1533-position model. The record is from RNAcentral.